AGUCCCCAGGAAUGUGGCUCCCCUCGGGGAGUGUUAUAGCCUGGGGCGCAAUGCGCUCAGCCGGGACCGAGGACCGCGCUCCGGCUAGGAUGCUGGCGUAAUGGUUGUCAGCGACCCGUCUUGAAACACGGACCAAGGAGUCUAACAUCUGUGCGAGUGUUUGGGUGUCAAACCCAUGCGCGGAAUGAAAGUGAAUGAAGGUGGGAGCCCCCUCGGGGGUGCACCAUCGACCGAUCCUGAUGUCUUCGGAUGGAUUUGAGUAGGAGCAUGGCUGUUGGGACCCGAAAGAUGGUGAACUAUGCCUGAAUAGGGUGAAGCCAGAGGAAACUCUGGUGGAGGCUCGCAGCGGUUCUGACGUGCAAAUCGAUCGUCAAAUUUGGGUAUAGGGGCGAAAGGUAUGUUGAUUCCUCACUAACGCAAUAAUUGAUGGGCUGGGUGCUGACUUCUCAUAGACUAAUCGAACCAUCUAGUGACCACGGCUACUAGAGAUACAGCCAGACGAGCCUUCGGGGCUCCAGUAGCCCCCGCGUGCGCGGGGGCGACACCGUCGGUCUUCGGGGACGCCUUCUAGGCUACCCGCACUGAGCUUCGGCUCAGUCCCUAAGUGGCGGUGGCCGCGGACCUCCGCGGU
This 631-nucleotide ribosomal RNA is filed under the name Lobothallia radiosa. Its description in RNAcentral is "partial large subunit ribosomal RNA". It matches the Rfam family "Eukaryotic large subunit ribosomal RNA", at positions 534 to 1418 of the family's 3401-position model. Lineage: Eukaryota; Fungi; Ascomycota; Lecanoromycetes; Pertusariales; Megasporaceae. The record is from RNAcentral.